GAAGAGACCAUGGUAAAGAUGAGCUGACGGCCUCUGUGGGAACAAAGACAGGGAAAGGGGAAAUGAGUUCACCAGAAACCAACAGGCAGCACAGGAGGUGGUAAACCCGAAAAAGAAAAUGAAGAAAAAGAAAUACGUGAAUUCUGGCACAGUCACCCUGCUUUCCUUUGCUGUGGAGUCAGAGUGCACCUUCCUUGACUACAUCAAAGGAGGGGUAUCAGUUUCCUCCUCUGUACACAAAGAGAAUGGAGUAGGACCCAGAUCAACUUCACUGUGGCCAUUGAUUUCACUGCCUCCAAUGGGAACCCCUCACAGUCCACAUCCCUGCACUACAUGAGCCCCUACCAGCUGAACGCCUACGCGCUGGCGCUGACUGCCGUCGGAGAGAUCAUCCAGCACUACGACAGUGACAAGAUGUUCCCUGCCCUGGGCUUCGGGGCCAAGCUGCCCCCGGAUGGCAGGGUGUCCCACGAGUUCCCGCUGAAUGGCAACCAGGAGAACCCCUCGUGCUGCGGCAUCGACGGCAUCCUGGAGGCCUACCACCGCAGCCUGCGCACCGUGCAGCUGUACGGCCCCACCAACUUUGCCCCUGUGGUCACCCACGUGGCCAGGAAUGCAGCGGCCGUGCAGGACGGCUCCCAGUACUCUGUGCUGCUCAUCAUCACUGACGGGGUCAUCUCAGACAUGGCGCAGACCAAGGAGGCCAUUGUCAAUGCUGCCAAGCUCCCCAUGUCCAUCAUUAUCGUCGGCGUGGGCCAGGCGGAGUUCGACGCCAUGGUGGAGCUGGAUGGCGACGACGUGCGGAUCUCCUCCCGGGGGAAGCUGGCUGAACGCGACAUCGUCCAGUUUGUGCCCUUCCGAGACUAUGUGGACCGCACAGGCAACCACGUGCUGAGCAUGGCCCGCCUGGCCCGAGACGUGCUGGCAGAGAUCCCCGACCAACUGGUGUCCUACAUGAAGGCACAGGGCAUUCGCCCGCGUCCCCCACCCGCAGCACCAACCCACUCGCCCUCGCAGUCCCCAGCCCGCACGCCCCCUGCAUCCCCCCUGCACACGCACAUCUGAACAUGGUCUCAGCAGGCAGGUGGCUGGGGCCUGGGAGAGGCCAGGCAAACAGGAGGCCAGGGCCCCAGACUCCCUGAAGUGGGCCUGCCCGGCCUUUGGGACAUCUGUGUGCCUGGGAGGCUGCCGGGGGUGGGGCUUCUGAAGACCCCUCCUCAAUUUCUUGGCCUCACUUAUUGCCCAAACCCAGGGAGUUAGGGGGGUACCGGUGAAAGAGAGAUACACAGGGACCCAGCCCUUCUCUUCUUCCCCAAUACCUGGCUUUAACCCCGCCAGGAAGGUGUAAACAAUAAGGGUGAUUGGGGUCCCUGUUGCCCACCCCCGGCAAUCCUAUUUGCUUACCUGUCACCCUGAAGCCUGGGCUUGGCCUCCUCCAGCCCUCCAUCUCCGUCCCAUCCCCCCAUGGUGUCUACUCCUGUCACUGAGCCCCGCCCUGUGGUCUAUUCUGAGCCCGAUUUCCAGGGAACCCCAUGAAGCUGAUGGGUUUGCAGGAAGGCCUGAACAUGUGCGCCCUCCUGGGGACACUGGAUGCACUGGGAGCCCCCGGGGACCCAUGGGGUGCUGUAAUCAUGGACUGUAGGCCAUGUGAUGGGCCUGAAGUGGAGGCUGCUCAGCACAGAGCCCUUUCUGGUGCCUCUCGAGCUCGGUACGAUGCAAGUUCUAGACACACAGAUGGCCUGUGGAGGCCUCUCCCUGGUGUGGGCCCACAGGUACUUCCAUGGUUGGCUCCUGGCUUCAGGGAUCCCCUCCUCCCUCCAGAGGCUUCCCAGGGCCCUCGGUGCCCACGCCUCUGCCCACCUGGAGGCCUGAGUAAGGAGUGGCUCAGCCCCACGUUCCCACACUGCUCCUGCUCUUUGCCCCGUAUCCCAUGAGGCUAGGAGACAGGAGUCCUGGGUUUGAGCCCUGCCUCCCCCCACUGCCUAAUGUGGGAACCUAAGCAAGGCCCUUCUACCUUUUGGGCCUCAGUUUCCGUGUCUGUAUGACAAGAGGGUUGACCAGAUGGCCCCAGGUUUUCCUUUAGGUCUGACGUCCUGAGGGUCAUUCAUCCCAUGCCCAGCUCCCCCCAUCCUACUCCUAACCGAUGUGACCCUACUCGAGGCCGCCUUGGCUUUUGGGUCACCCUGUCCCAUCCCAUCACCCCAAACACACCCUAGUCCUUCAGCCUUGGGCUCUGGCAUCUGAGCCCGAGCUCCUGCCCCUGCUGUGGGAAAGGUGGGGAAGAAGGGGAUCUCCCUCCUGGGCCCAGCCAGCCACCCAGCCUUUGCCCACUCGGGGAGCAGGUCAUGCAUGCCUGUCCCUGUUGCCGCAUGGAGCUCCUCAGCCCACUGACCUCUCCGUGCCUGGUGCAGGCCAGGCCCCCAUCUUCUGCCUGCCUCCGCUUCCCCGUCAUGCAUGGUGGUGGUGUUUCUACGGUGUCUGGUUCUGUGCCCGUCUCUGAGACAGUCUCUGUGUGGAAUUUGCCUUAAACUGAAGUAAAUUUGGUUCUUUUAGUAAA
This 2557-nucleotide small RNA is filed under the name Pongo abelii (Sumatran orangutan). RNAcentral describes it as "processed transcript". Lineage: Eukaryota; Metazoa; Chordata; Mammalia; Primates; Hominidae. The record is from RNAcentral.